AGUAUUUGUGUGCUGUUGAACUAUCAACCAAAGAUUUAAAGAUAGGUUCAAAAAUAAGUCUUCUUCUGCAGCCCAGAACUCAUUGUUCAGAAUGAGUUUUGAUACAUAUGAGAAGAAUUGCU
Molecule: small nucleolar RNA, 122 nt
Organism: Phodopus roborovskii (desert hamster)
Lineage: Eukaryota; Metazoa; Chordata; Mammalia; Rodentia; Cricetidae
Product: small nucleolar RNA SNORA40
Exons: 1
Source: RefSeq, a predicted model, not a curated record